This is a non-coding RNA of Nicotiana tabacum (common tobacco), 1165 nucleotides long. The record is from RefSeq and is a predicted model, not a curated record. NCBI's taxonomy places the organism in Eukaryota, Viridiplantae, Streptophyta, Magnoliopsida, Solanales, Solanaceae.
UCCAUGGAAGCCCAAAGGUAAAACAGUGGCCCCUUUUCUCAAAUGUCUCACAUAACAGUACCCUCCCCCAAAUAUAAGAUGAGGCAAAUUUGGAGUCAAUGGUGGCAGACUUUCAAUUUGGAUUCCGAGUCGAAAAUCAGCGAUCAACAACGUUAUUGAUUGGCAAUUAAAGGCUUCAACGACAAGACACUUCUGCUCCCGGGAAAAUUUACGGACAGUUCAUGACUUUGCAGAAAUGUGGAACUAAACAAGUGAUGGUGACACGCAAGUGGAGAUUAUGUUGUUCAAGAUGAGUGGGUUAAAAAGGAAAGGAUUGGAGCGUUUGAAAAAAGCUUUUAUGGUGUUCCAGUUUUUCAGGUACCCUCUCUCAACCUGGUAUAUCCAAUUAUCUGUGGCACCUCUCUUAGACCAAAAAAAACUAUUUAUCUUUAACUUCCUUUCUUUGCCUUUAUCUCCCAAUUAUUUAGUUGUUUGAUCUUCCAAGUUAUUGUUUAUUUAUUGUGCAAUUAGAGAGAGUAAUGAAAAGUUAUAACUGUGUUAAUUUUUUAACGGGGUCCUAAAGAGAUGUACAUAAUAACUCAUUACAAUUAAUUGCUUAGAACUUCUGGCUUCUCAUUCUAUAGUGCAGAGUAUCGUCAAAAGUAUAAUAAAGAACACCACCAGCACUCUUAACCUCGAUAGCCUAUGCAUCCCUUAACCGAUUCUAGGUAAUUUUUACUUGAUUAUUAGACUGUUUUUGCUAUUUCUUUUACCCUUCAAAGCUUAAAUUUGUUUCACCUUGGCAAUAUUUCUUUUGAGAGCAAUACUUGGACAUAUCGUGGAAGGAGAUGCGCUUUCUUUAAAAAAAAAUUUCAAUGUUUUGUGUUAACUAACUAAUUAUAUUCUUUAUUUUGUGACAAAUUAUUGGAACUUAUAUGUAUGUAUGAUCUGAGGAUUUUAAGGAUGUUGCAGGAACUAUUUUAGAGGGAAAAGCAAUCGAAAAUCUAUAAGCAUCCAUUAUAUUCUCGCUUUCUUCUCAUAAAGUUGGGUUCACAGUCUCUUGUUCGUGUAUAUGUAUGAGAUCUUUUUUUUGAUUCAAGUUACAUAUAUGUAUGCCAUUUGGGUACACAAAGGUAUUAUGCAGUUAAAUUUUUAUUUUCAAUCUACAAUUUAAAUGGAUUUGGUA